CGUAAAAAUUUACACUAAAUUGAAAUCCAAAUCACGACAAAGAGUUCCUCCAACAAACAUAAGCGUUUGUCAGCACCAAGGCGCAGAAAAAAGGGUGCCUUUCCUUUGCCUGGUGGGGCGCAUGGACAUUUUUGGGAAAAAUGUCCUGGAAGGCACCGGCUGAAGCCAUCAAGACGGCAGACACGCACCACUAGUGCAGUAGCCUGAUUGGCUCAAACACAACUGCUUCUUCUUCUGUGAAUUUUGUAUGGCGGUUGGCAACCAACGUUACGGUGCAUUACUGCCACUGGACUGGAGUGUAGACCAGAGACAGUGAAGGUAUAAAUUCUACCCAAUAAUCUCGUCUCCCUAAGGAAACAAAAUACAUAAUUAAAUACUACAUCCCAUGAAGAUUUCCCCAGCAGUUCACUUAAUCCUGGCUCUUCAAACCCAUUACUCCUCAAAUCUAAUAAAAGAUCAGUGGUGAAAAAUAAGUGGCAA
This 480-nucleotide long non-coding RNA is filed under the name Oncorhynchus kisutch (coho salmon). RNAcentral's name for it is "lncRNA (ENSOKIG00005023547.1)". The record is from RNAcentral. Lineage: Eukaryota; Metazoa; Chordata; Actinopteri; Salmoniformes; Salmonidae.